Long non-coding RNA from Telopea speciosissima, 175 nucleotides. RefSeq lists it as uncharacterized. The record is from RefSeq and is a predicted model, not a curated record. Lineage: Eukaryota; Viridiplantae; Streptophyta; Magnoliopsida; Proteales; Proteaceae. The transcript is spliced from 3 exons.
AUCCACUUUCACAUGUUUAUUACAGGUUGGCCUCCUUGAAUUCAAAACCUCCAAUAACAAGAAUACCAAAAAUGAUUGAAGCAUGAAUGAACAAACUCAUUCAGCACCUCCCCCAUGCAAUUAGUGCCUGGUUGGAUUGGAGAUAUUUAAGAUAAUCCUCAAUUAAGUUCACAAA